UUUUUGAUUAAUAAUUUAAAGUCUAAUCUGCCCACUGAUAUUAUAUUAAAGGGCUGCAGUAUUUUGACUGUACAAAGGUAGCAUAAUCAUUAGUCUCUUAAUUGGUGACUUGUAUGAAAGAUUUGAUGAAAUAUAUACUGUCUCUUCUUAAUUUGUAAAAUUUAAUUUUUUAGUUAAAAAGCUAGAAUAUAUUUAAAAGACGAGAAGACCCUAUAGAGUUUUAUAUUUAUAUAAAUUAUAAUUUUUUAUAAGAUUUAAAAUUUUAAUAUAUUUAAAUAUUGUGUUGGGGUGAUAAAAAAAUUUAAAUAACUUUUUUUAUAAAUUAACAUUUAUAAAUGAAUAAAUGAUCCGUAAUUUACGAUUAUAAGAAAAAAUUACCUUAGGGAUAACAGCGUAAUUUUUUUUUUUAGUUCAAAUAAGAAUAAAAGUUUGCGACCUCGAUGUUGGAUUAAGAUAAAAUUUAAAUGCAAAAGUUUAAAAUUUUUGAUCUGUUCGAUCAUUAAAAUCUUACA
RNAcentral lists this ribosomal RNA (512 nucleotides) under Parnassius hannyngtoni. RNAcentral's name for it is "partial 16S ribosomal RNA". The stretch from base 385 to 512 matches the Rfam family "Bacterial large subunit ribosomal RNA", at positions 2473 to 2600 of the family's 2925-position model. Lineage: Eukaryota; Metazoa; Arthropoda; Insecta; Lepidoptera; Papilionidae. The record is from RNAcentral.